CCUACGUUUCCUUUCUCUCUACUCCUUUGCUGCGUCCCCUUCUUUGGAUUCAUAUGUUCAAGCUUUCUGGUUGUCUAUGGCUUUUUGAUUCCUCUCAGUAACUGCUCAUUGAUACCUCUACUACACUGCAUUGAAUCGGCCUAAUCAAUUCCCAGAGAAAUCGUCGGAAGCUCUCACUAUAAAAUCCCCUCUUUCAGUCCUGGACAGCACAGACUAGACGAAAUCGAAACAAAUACUCUGUUCUGCUUGCCAACUUCUGCGAUGGAGAACUCCUUCAUCCACCUUUCCGAUGAGGUUUUGUGAGGCUGAAGCCUCCACCUCCUCAGAUGAAUUUCAUGACAAAUUUCAGAGAGAUGAUAAUCUUCAGAAAAGCAAACCUAGCUUCUGGGCCCAAUGGCGAGCUCCAACAACAAGGUUUCACAAGCAAAUGAUUUUGAAGAUAUCAGUAGAUUAUUAAAGCACUUGACAUCUUGAAGGACGACCCUACUCUGGAAAAUCAACUUGCUUCUGGCUCUCGCAGAUAAAGUUUAAGGCCGGCUGUUUAUGAACUCAAAAUCUGGAACACAUAUUUUCUUUGACACUGAGACAGCUGUAGGAAGAGAGAAAUUUGACAAGUAAGUACUACUCAUUUUAAACACCAUUUCGUCAACUUAGAUUGUAUUGGCAUCUGAUUUCCUCUUUCUUUGACUGUCUUCUCCCACUUAACCCCUACCCGACUGAGCUGAUGGCACAGAGCAGACGGCAGCGUCGUCAAAGGUAGUUCAUGCCAAGAAAAUUGAGCCACUCACCAUCUCUGAGCUUAAUGAAUAUGUGAUCACGACUGCCGAGCCUCAGGUGACAGGUUCACUUAGUAAAUUGAAAUCCUUUGGAAGUUACACUACUCAUUCUACAUGUUCUUUGACGUUCCACAGAUAGUAGAGCUUCUCUGCAUUCAAACUCAAGCUAACCGAGUUUAAAGGACAUUAAGGCGUUCUCAGAAGCAAUAGAUUUGGUUAGAGACAAAGGUGUUGCUGUGGUUGUGGCGUCCGCUGAAGACACUGAUGCGGCGAACGGUGCACGUCCCAACUUUUUCGAGGUUAAGAAAGCCCUCUAAGUUGAUAACUUUUACUGUAAUAAGAUUAAGAAUAUCUUUUGGAUUUGUUCUCUGCUGCGAGGGAGUAUCUUGGCAAAGCUAAAUAGUAUAAUAUUUGCCCAACCGAAUGGCCCUUUUCACAAUAAAUGAAGCAUUUUGAUCAA
Raphanus sativus (radish) is the source of this 1236-nucleotide long non-coding RNA. RefSeq lists it as uncharacterized. The transcript is spliced from 5 exons. The record is from RefSeq and is a predicted model, not a curated record. NCBI's taxonomy places the organism in Eukaryota, Viridiplantae, Streptophyta, Magnoliopsida, Brassicales, Brassicaceae.